GGGCUCCAAACCCGAGUCAGUUCCCUGUGCAGAAAGAGGCUAUCCUCCCAGGCUUCAAGUCAGCGCCAGCGACCUGACGGGGCCGUCUCGGGCAUGGGGUGCCACCGCGGCCAGAGGGCCAGCCUUUGCAAACAACGAAACCCAAACGAUCUUCCCCGCGGGUUUUUCCAAGCUCUGGUUCAGAUCCAUCUUCUUAUGAAUGGACCUCAUUCAAUCAGCAAAAAGGCCUUAGCAGAAAAAUAGAAGAAUGACCUCCCUUGAGGAAGAGGGAAUUGUGCAGGCCAAUGGUCUUCAAACUUGAACUGCAGCAUCCACUCUUCCCUGAGUCUCCAGCCUGAUGACAUAUCCUGAAGAUUUUGGACUUGUUGACAGACAUGUGCAGGCGUGCACACGUGUGUGUGUGUGCGCACACACACACAGUUCUUUUUCAGCACAGUGCUAAUGUACACAUACAUUAGAAUGGUUAAAAUGAAAAAGACUUACAUAACCAAGUGGUGGUGAACGUGUGGAGCAACUGAAAUUCUCAUACUUUGCUGGUGGGAAUGAAAAUUGUCACAAACACUUCAGAUUCCUGUUUGCCAGUAGUUGCUAAAGCUGACUAAAUGAAUACCCUAAGCAAUUCCACUCUAAGGUUUAUACCCUAUAAUACAUGGUCGAUUAUCUCUCUCUUUCUGUAUAUGUUCAUACAUAUAUGUAUGAAUGUUGCCAACAGUAGUUUUAAUAACGUACCAAAAUGAAAUUGGAAACAACCAAAUGUUCAUCAGCAGUGGAGUGAAUGCAUGGUAGUAUAUGCAAAUGAUGUAUAAACUCAUGCAAUUAUUUACAUCUCAUAAACAUAACUUGAGUGAAAAAAGUCAAACAUAAUGGGCAAACCUAAGUGAUGCUGUUUGAUAUCAGGAAAGAAGGAUGAGGGAUUGGGACUGGACAAGGACAUGCUGUGCUUCUGCAGUACACCACUUCUUAACCUCAGUGGAUAUUGCAUAGGUGUAUUCACCGUGUGAAAAUUCAUCCACAGGCAUGUUGAUAAUUGGUGUACUUUGCUGCACAUAUAUGUAAUUCAUUUCUUUAAAAGUUUAAGAGAGUAUGUCUCCGUCACUGUCUGUUACGUUUGCAGAAGUUACUCCAUGUUUUGGAACCCCAGUUCCUCGGCUGUAAAAUGCUGCACAGAUUUAAAGAGAUGGUCCUUGGGAAAGCUAUUGGUAAAGUUUGAAUGUAAUGAUUUGUUAUGAUGUGCACUUCACAAGUAGACUCAAUAAAGUGAAAUGAAAAUUAACUCUAAAGAAGCUA
This 1287-nucleotide long non-coding RNA is filed under the name Sus scrofa (pig). Its description in RNAcentral is "lncRNA (ENSSSCG00005010582.1)". Lineage: Eukaryota; Metazoa; Chordata; Mammalia; Artiodactyla; Suidae. The record is from RNAcentral.